Molecule: long non-coding RNA, 126 nt
Organism: Rhodamnia argentea
Lineage: Eukaryota; Viridiplantae; Streptophyta; Magnoliopsida; Myrtales; Myrtaceae
Exons: 3
Source: RefSeq, a predicted model, not a curated record
UAGAUUACAUACUUUCCUUCGUGGCUCCUAUUUAUGACAUGCUUAGAGUUUACGACACCGAUAAGCCUUGUCUUCCCUUAGUUUAUGACAUGUGGGAUUUGAUGAUUGAAAAAGUGAGGAAGUGGA